UUUCCUCUGCUCUGUUUGAUACAAGCCAGAAUGAUAGGUUUAUUAAAUCUGGCUCUAAUAACGUAUAGAGUCUAGCACCCAAACAUGAGUGAAAUGACAAGGACGGAAAUUGUAUCGAGCCCCAGCACUUGAGACGCUCUAAGAGAAAAGAUGUGUCAUCAGUCUUAUGACUUCAAUCAGGUUUCCCGAUAUUCAGAGUUCUAUCCAAGAUGGAACUUGAAAACCUAUGCUGUGUUUUUGUUUUGAUUAUUCUUUUCUCUUUUUUCUUUUUUUUGGUCUUUUCAGUUUACCCAGCGCUUAGCUAUGCAAAUAAAAUUGAAAAUCUAUAUGCUUCUCUCCCAGAUAUGGGCUUACAACUCCUAAGCAUGUCUAACCUUCUUUCUGAUACUAAAUUCCAUUGCGCUUGACCAUAACUAUUUCCAGAGCAUUACAGGUUCACCGAAGCCUGAGUGCUUCGGGUGUUUCCAGGUGAUUUAAGAAAUUAAAGUAAACAGAUAUGAGCAGGAAGAAGUUCUUGCAAAAUACAAAAUCUAAUAUGAAGAAAGUUAUGAUAUCUACCUUUUCUAAGAUGGUCGGAUCAGUUACAUUUGCCAACUCAAGUAGGCGAAAGAGACCAACCGCAAAUAAUCGACUAUAGCAGAAACUAUCCUUGGUUCCAGCUCGCUGUGCGAUAUCUUUCAGAAUGUUUUCAACUUCUCCAUCUCUGGAUGAGAAGUCUACCAGCGUAUUGGCAUUUUGAGUACGAGCCCAUUCUUCAAAUUUUUGUGCAUCAUCUCUGUAAACUGACAGGGAAAGUUACAAAUCUUUAUAAAGGAAACAAUUAAGCUUGCCAAAUCUACUCAAUGUUAGACAGAAGAUUAUAACUACAACAAUAACAACAACAAACUAUGCCUCAUCGGCUUUUACGAAUAAUCAAUAUCCAUUUCGCUAAUUGGGCAGAUUUCAUAAACUAAUCAAGACAAUUACAAAUCAGUGUUAUCAAAGCCGCGCUUAAGCCCUGAAGUGAGGCUCAAACAUGCUGAGCGAGCGCUUCAUCUCGCUUAAUGGGCGCUUCAGUAUUGUCAUCAAGGUUCUAAGGCAUACUUUUCCUUGCUAACGAGCGUUAUCCAAAAGAGGUGACACUAAACAAUUGAUAUUUCACUUUAUUGUAAACUUUCUUCAAUUUCUUUGUCCAUAUAUUUGGUAUUCAUGUUUAUAAAUAUUAGUCUUGGACUACACAUACAUAUUUGUAGUUUUUCUCCAUUUGCGCCAUCCUUCAUUAAAUCCCACAUUUUAUUUAUGCUUCGCGCUUAAAGCCCCAACAGCCUUAGAGUUUUUUUGCGCUUUCGCCUUUGAUAACAAUGUUCCAAAUGUGGUUAAAUUAGCCACCUCAAACGAUCAUCAGCCUUUCACCAAAGAACCUUAAAGCUUGAGCAUUUAUUAUAAAAUCAGAUAUUGUUUCCAUUAGAAUGGAAGUUUAAUGCCUUAACCUCAGAUCAUUAAAGAUUGUGGUCCUUGGACUUUUUCUGUUCCGGGCAUUAUUAUUACUGUACUUGCCUGUUCAAGGCGUUAGAGACAUAAUGUGCUUCAAUUCAAAAGGCAUAUGGUUUAAUUAACAUCCAACCUCUUAGGAUUAAACAUCUUCACCACUCAAAAGGCAAAGAUGUGCAUUCAGAUUAGAUAAGGCUUCUUUAAUGAAAUAAGGGAUGCCCCAGACCCCACCUGGUGGGAAUACACUGGGUAGUUGUUAUUGUUGUUGUUGUUUCUAGGUCAUGGCCCUAACCUGUCGUGGAGCACAUGGAGCAAACUGUAGAACAAUAUAAAUUCUCUUAACAAAAAUAAAGGUAAGAACUGAAAAUUUUGGCCACCACGAGGAAGACGAGGGGCUCUCCCUAUGGAAUUCUAUUUUCUAGUACAUAAAGACAUACUUAUGCUUCAACUCUUUUCUAAAAUCUAAUAUUUUCUUCUUGCAAUCUGGGUGAAUCAUGAUCGAGAAUCAUGAAUAUUAGGUUGAGAUGUAUUUGCACCACAUUUGGGUUUCGCUAAGCAUGUAUAGAGCUUAGUUUUGAAAUGUGUUCUGUAACUUGAGUUUUUCUAAGGAAGCAUGAGUUACCUUAGCCAGGUCGAGAUGGUUCACUUGGUAGGUAGAGCCUACUGGAUACCAGUCAUGGCCCUAAAUUGGAUCAUGACACUCUACAAGUGGAGAAAUGUAUAAUUUGACUUGAUCAAUCUCAUGCAAAAUUCCAAUGUAAUGUCUGGAUUAAAAGUUGAUAGAAAUAUCAACUUCAGAAUACGGCUGCUUUAUGCUAUUCAUUUAUGGAUUCCUCUUCGUAACCCAAGGAAGAUGUUGGUAGAUUGAGGAUAACAGUAGCCAUAUCUUAGUAAGUGAGAGUUGAUUAAGGGUUCUGCAGCUAAUUCUCGGUUCUGAAUAGUGCUUUCGCUCAUUGGGAAACCAAGCACCUGCAUUUCUCCAGUUCCAUAAUACAGCUAAACCUAUUCAUCUUGGGUUUUGGUUCCACUCUCCAAGAAACACUUAAUGGUAAUUAAAUAUAUACUUUAUCUACGAUUACCUUACUGAAAGGAAGAUAUAUCUUCAAUGCUAUCACAUAUAAAUGAUUAUUUGUGUGCCUUUAAACAGAAAAGUGAGUAAAAGCAACUGAAAUUGGUAAGAGAUGGAUUAAACAUGCCUGUAUUGCACAGGAUCCUCAUUGAGCGCCUCUAUAUAUGCUUUGAAGAUGGCAUCACGAUCCUCUUCACUUGGGUAGCCUUCCAUAAGUUGAUCAUAUACAGUGACGAAACCAAGCGCAAACACGGGAUCAUAUCGGUAGGAUUUCUUGUACUUUAUCAAAUGUUGUUGCACAAUUAGCUCUUGUAACACUGUGUUGUAGACAGUUGGAAUUGGACUUUUAUAAGCCUUCAAGAAAUUCAUUUUAGUUUCGGCCACAGUUGGCAAAUCUGGAAACAAUACAAUAUAAUGCACCGCAUUAUUGCCUCAUCAAAUAAACAUUUGCACCGCACUAAAAUAAAACAGAAUAAGUAAACAGAAAGAAAAUAGACAAGAUACAGAAAAUACAAAUAGUAGCAAGAAUGCAGACAGAUAAAUUAAACCAGAGAAGGCUUCAUUUCCUCUGUUACCUCAAUACAACAACAACAGCUAUGCCUCCGUCCCAAACAAGUUGGGGUCCGCUAUAUGACUCUCCUCACUAAUCACUUAUUCUGUUAGUUCAAUUCCAUGUUUUUUUUCCUUUGAUAAGUUAAUUCAAUCUUCAUUAGGAAGAAAUAGCUCCGAUUCAUCAUUCAUUUUAUAUGAUGCUAUUAGAAUGAACAGGAACCCUAUAUGUUCACUUGACUUAUGUAUUAUAUUUGACAGUUUUUUUUUUUCAGAAAACCUAAGGUCAUUUUCUUGUCACUGCACUGGCAAGCUGGUACUUCAUUAUGAAAUGUAUAUUAUAUAUAAUAAACAUCUCCUUAACUAUUUUGGACGUUAACAGAAUGUAAUUAUAGUAUUUAUAAUUGAAAACAAAAAUUAAAUUAAUGGUUAAAAAGUUACUUUGAUCUAGAAAAGGUCACACCAAAAGUUUCUAUUAGGAAUUAGUUUAAUGAAACUGAAUUCGUGAAAAUCCAAAAGUUCUAUUGAAAUUGAAUAAUGUAAAACAUUUUGGAAUAUCUAGUGUCAUAUAAAGUACUCGUACAAUAUAGUGAAUAAAUAUUCUCAACAGUUAAAAUGACAUAUAAGUAUUUCGCUAUAUCUAAAUCCAAACUCAACUGCUGUGCAGUUCAUUUCAAGCACUGAAAAACAUAGACACUAGAAAUAAAUUAGUCGAUCAAUUGUAAAAUACACCUGCACAAAAUUAUGCACACUUGCUGGGUAAAUAGACUAAAACAGGAAAAAAAUAGAUGAUAAAAAACUACUGUAUAAUUUAUUAAUUUAUUCUCGAUUUCCAAUCCAAUUCGAAGCAAUGUAUCUUCACAUAAAAGAGAACUUGCCUGUGGACAUGCAAUGAACGACAAAGCGAGAGGUGGAAGGAUUCGAACUGAAACUGGAAUUAGAAGAUCGAACAUUGAAACAAUCAAUGGAAACAUUGGAACGGAACCUAAAUGUAUCAACAGAACGAGACGGAGAAACGGAGGAUUUCCUUUCGGCGGAUUGAGCAAUCGCCGAGAACGAUACCGAAGUAACUGCCGCCAUUUCUACAGAAAAUAGUGAAGAAGAA
RNAcentral lists this long non-coding RNA (4193 nucleotides) under Nicotiana benthamiana. RNAcentral's name for it is "long non-coding RNA (NBEN_LNC023230)". Lineage: Eukaryota; Viridiplantae; Streptophyta; Magnoliopsida; Solanales; Solanaceae. The record is from RNAcentral.